RNAcentral lists this ribosomal RNA (466 nucleotides) under uncultured bacterium. Its description in RNAcentral is "partial 16S ribosomal RNA". It matches the Rfam family "Bacterial small subunit ribosomal RNA", at positions 28 to 507 of the family's 1533-position model. The record is from RNAcentral.
GUCGAACGCUGGCGGCGUGCUUAACACAUGCAAGUCGAACGGAAAGGCCCUGCUUGCAGGGUACUCGAGUGGCGAACGGGUGAGUAACACGUGGGUGAUCUGCCCUGCACUUCGGGAUAAGCUUGGGAAACUGGGUCUAAUACCGGAUAGGAGCCAUCUUUAGUGUGGUGGUUGGAAAGUUUUUUCGGUGUAGGAUGAGCUCGCGGCCUAUCAGCUUGUUGGUGGGGUAAUGGCCUACCAAGGCGGCGACGGGUAGCCGGCCUGAGAGGGUGUACGGCCACAUUGGGACUGAGAUACGGCCCAGACUCCUACGGGAGGCAGCAGUGGGGAAUAUUGCACAAUGGGCGCAAGCCUGAUGCAGCGACGCCGCGUGGGGGAUGAAGGCCUUCGUGUUGUAAACUCCUUUCGCUAGGGACGAAGCUUUGUUGUGACGGUACCUAGAUAAGAAGCACCGGCUAACUACGUG